RNAcentral lists this ribosomal RNA (500 nucleotides) under uncultured bacterium. Its description in RNAcentral is "partial 16S ribosomal RNA". It matches the Rfam family "Bacterial small subunit ribosomal RNA", at positions 30 to 523 of the family's 1533-position model. The record is from RNAcentral.
AUUGAACGCUGGCGGCAUGCCUUACACAUGCAAGUCGAACGGCAGCACGUGAGCAAUCCUGGUGGCGAGUGGCGAACGGGCGAGUAAUAUAUGGGAACGUGCCCAGGCGUGGGGGAUAACGUAGCAAAAGCUACGCUAAUACCGCAUACGAUCCAUGGAUGAAAGCGGGGGAUCGCAAGACCUCGCGCGAUUGGAGCGGGCGAUAUCAGAUUAGGUAGUUGGUGAGGUAAAGGCUCACCAAGCCGACGAUCUGUAGCUGGUCUGAGAGGACGACCAGCCACACUGGGACUGAGACACGGCCCAGACUCCUACGGGAGGCAGCAGUGGGGAAUUUUGGACAAUGGGCGCAAGCCUGAUCCAGCAAUGCCGCGUGCAGGAUGAAGGCCUUCGGGUUGUAAACUGCUUUUGUACGGAGCGAAAAGGCUUCCACUAAUACUGGGGGCUCAUGACGGUACCGUAAGAAUAAGCACCGGCUAACUACGUGCCAGCCGCCGCGGUAA